AGGGCAAGUCUGGUGCCAGCAGCCGCGGUAAUUCCAGCUCCAAUAGCGUAUAUUAAAGUUGUUGCAGUUAAAAAGCUCGUAGUUGAAUUUCGGGGUUAGUAGGUUGGUCAUGCCUCAGGUAUGUACUGAUCUCACUGAUUCCUCCUUCCUGAUGAACCGUAAUGCCAUUAAUUUGGUGUUGCGGGGAAACUGGACUGCUACUUUGAAAAAAUUAGAGUGUUUAAAGCAGGCUAACGCUUGAAUACAUUAGCAUGGAAUAAUGAGAUAGGACGUUCGAUCCUAUUUUGUUGGUUUCUAGGAUUGACGUAAUGAUUAAUAGGGAUAGUUGGGGGCAUUAGUAUUCAAUUGUCAGAGGUGAAAUUCUUGGAUUUAUUGAAGACUAACUACUGCGAAAGCAUUUGCCAAGGAUGUUUUCAUUAAUCAAGAACGAAAGUUAGGGGAUCGAAGACGAUCAGAUACCGUCGUAGUCUUAACCAUAAACUAUGCCGACUAGGGAUCGGAUGAUGUUAAUUUUUUAAUGACUCAUUCGGCGCCUUACGGGAA
RNAcentral lists this ribosomal RNA (543 nucleotides) under uncultured Glomeromycotina. RNAcentral describes it as "SSU rRNA". It matches the Rfam family "Eukaryotic small subunit ribosomal RNA", at positions 552 to 1096 of the family's 1831-position model. Lineage: Eukaryota; Fungi; Glomeromycota. The record is from RNAcentral.